This 72-nucleotide transfer RNA is filed under the name Glyptocephalus cynoglossus (witch). Its description in RNAcentral is "tRNA-Trp". It matches the Rfam family "tRNA". From Rfam's summary of the family: Transfer RNA (tRNA) molecules are approximately 80 nucleotides in length. Their secondary structure includes four short double-helical elements and three loops (D, anti-codon, and T loops). RNAcentral also lists the same sequence under 3 other names. The record is from RNAcentral. Lineage: Eukaryota; Metazoa; Chordata; Actinopteri; Pleuronectiformes; Pleuronectidae.
AGAGACUUAGGCUAGCAAUUAGACCCACGGCCUUCAAAGCCGUAAGCGUGAGUGAAAAUCUCUCAGUCCCUG